Molecule: unclassified non-coding RNA, 290 nt
Filed under: Hevea brasiliensis (rubber tree)
Lineage: Eukaryota; Viridiplantae; Streptophyta; Magnoliopsida; Malpighiales; Euphorbiaceae
Source: RNAcentral
UGCAUCUGUGACCAAUUGGGAUGCGGAGGGGACAAGUUGCAGCCUGGUAUUAGAGGAUAAUCCACUUGUAGACUUUGUUGAACUUCCUGACACAUGCCAAGGUCUUUAUUACUGCAAUAUACUGAGCGGAGUUAUCAGAGGAGCACUGGAAAUGGUGUCGAUGAAGACGGAAGUGACCUGGGUUCGGGACAUGCUGCAUGGGGAUGAUGCCUAUGAGCUGCGAGUGAAACUUCUGAAGCAAGUUCCAGAAGAAUACCCAUACAAAGAUGACGAGUAAGAUCGCUAUAAGG